This is a long non-coding RNA of Microtus ochrogaster (prairie vole), 348 nucleotides long. RefSeq lists it as uncharacterized. NCBI's taxonomy places the organism in Eukaryota, Metazoa, Chordata, Mammalia, Rodentia, Cricetidae. The transcript is spliced from 3 exons. The record is from RefSeq and is a predicted model, not a curated record.
GCCUCCUGGCCGCGUUGCCGUGGAGACGGAGCUCGCUGUGUAGAUGUGGCAACUGGCCGAGACACAGCCUUUGCUGACUAUCUGCUGCAGGGGCUCACGGGACAGACGCCAAGAUGAUGCUUUCAAGAGCCAAACCCGCUGUGGGCGGGGAAUCACCGCACACUGACAAAAGAAAGAAGAAAGGUAGGAAGAUUCCAAAACUAGAAGAUCUGCUUUCGCAAAGAGAUUUCACUGGCGCUAUUACUCUUUUGGAGUUCAAACGCCAUGUCGGGGAGCAAGAAGACGACACUAACUUGUGGAUUGGAUACUGUGCUUUUCACCUGGGUGACUACAAGAGAGCUUUGGAGG